RNAcentral lists this ribosomal RNA (468 nucleotides) under uncultured bacterium. Its description in RNAcentral is "partial 16S ribosomal RNA". It matches the Rfam family "Bacterial small subunit ribosomal RNA", at positions 28 to 507 of the family's 1533-position model. The record is from RNAcentral.
GACGAACGCUGGCGGCGUGCUUAACACAUGCAAGUCGAACGGAAAGGCCCUGCUUUUGUGGGUUGCUCGUUUGGCGAACGGGUUAGUAACACGUGUGUAACCUGCCCUUUUCUUUGUUAUAACUUCUGUAAACUUGGGCUAAUACCUUAUAUGAGCUCCUGCUGCAUGGUGGUGGUUGGAAAGUUUCGGCGGUUGGGGAUGGACUCGCUGCUUAUCAGCUUGUUGGUGGGGUAGUGGGUUACCAAGGGUUUGACGGGUAGCCGGCCUGAGAGGGUUACCGGAAACAAUGGGACUGAGAUAGGGACCAGAAGGGAACGGGAGGCAGCAGGGGGGAAUAUAGCAAAAUGGGCGGAAGGAUGAUGCAGAAAAGCAGCGGGCGGGAUGAAGGGAUGCGGGUUGUAAACAGAGUUAGACUGAGAAGAAGAGUGAGUGACGGUAAUGGGUAAAGAAGCAACGGCUAACUACGUG